AGAAAAAAAUAUCUCAUCGUCUUUUUCCUCUCCAAGUGUUCCUUCCGCAAAGGCAGCACAACCUCAAAACUCGGUUCCAUCGAUUUAUAAAAUCUUGCGCUCCAACUUCUUGGUACCAAAUUGGCUGUUCGAUUUGUUGUUGCCACCCAGAUCCAUGGAACCAUAUGCAGUGCUAGUCUCGCUUUAAUAGUCCGAGGGGACAACGAAAUGGCGGAUAUUUCUUUUUAUAUUUGAUGGUUUGGCUAUUUGUUCACUUACAUCAUGCUUGAUAUUGACUUUAUUUCUCCAUGAAUGGAAAACUUGUAUGUUUGGUA
This is a long non-coding RNA of Brachypodium distachyon (stiff brome), 314 nucleotides long. RefSeq lists it as uncharacterized. NCBI's taxonomy places the organism in Eukaryota, Viridiplantae, Streptophyta, Magnoliopsida, Poales, Poaceae. The record is from RefSeq and is a predicted model, not a curated record. The transcript is spliced from 2 exons.